This 285-nucleotide unclassified non-coding RNA is filed under the name uncultured fungus. RNAcentral's name for it is "partial contains small subunit ribosomal RNA, internal transcribed spacer 1, and 5.8S ribosomal RNA". The stretch from base 1 to 73 matches the Rfam family "Eukaryotic small subunit ribosomal RNA", at positions 1759 to 1831 of the family's 1831-position model. Lineage: Eukaryota; Fungi. The record is from RNAcentral.
ACAAACUUGGUCAUUUAGAGGAAGUAAAAGUCGUAACAAGGUCUCCGUUGGUGAACCAGCGGAGGGAUCAUUAUAGAGUUUUCUAACUCCCAAACCCAUGUGAACUUACCAGUUUGUUGCCUCGGCAGGCCUCCGCCUCUCGCCUUCGGGCGGUGCGGAUACCACAGGUCUGCCGGUGGUCCCACUAAACUCUUGAAUUACAUUGUAAAUCUGAGCGUUUAAAACAAAUAAAUCAAAACUUUCAACAACGGAUCUCUUGGUUCUGGCAUCGAUGAAGAACGCAGC